Molecule: small nucleolar RNA, 107 nt
Filed under: Olea europaea subsp. europaea
Lineage: Eukaryota; Viridiplantae; Streptophyta; Magnoliopsida; Lamiales; Oleaceae
Source: RNAcentral
CUGUUCGGUUGAGGACACGGUCUGAGCAAGUCUUUAAAUCUUUCCCAAGCUUCACAGAACAGUUCAAAAUCAAAUUGUCUGAAUUGACCAAUUUCACUUCUAAGUUG